Molecule: ribosomal RNA, 913 nt
Filed under: uncultured marine archaeon
Lineage: Archaea
Description: bacterial SSU rRNA
Rfam family: Archaeal small subunit ribosomal RNA
Source: RNAcentral
UGGUUGAUCCCGCCGGAGGCUACCGCUAUUGGAGUUCGAUUAAGCCAUGCGAGUCGCGAGAAAUUAGAUUCUCGGCGUACCGCUCAGUAACACGUGGGUAACCUGCCCUAUGCUGGAUAAUAACCUCGGGAAACUGAGAAUAAUGAUCCAUAGUUCACUACGCCUGGAACGGUGAGUGGAUGAAAGCUCCGGCGGCAUAGGAUGGGCCUGCGGCGUAUCAGGUUGUAGGGGGUGUAACGUACCCUCUAGCCCUCUACGCGUACGGGUGUUGGGAGACAUAGCCCGGAGAUGGAUUCUGAGACACGAAUCCAGACCCUACGGGGUGCAGCAGGCGCGAAAACUUGGCAAUGCGAGAAAUCGUGACCAGGGAACUCCAAGUGCAUCGGGUAAGACCGGUGCUUUUCUUGACUCUAAAUAGGUCUUGGAAUAAGGGGUGGGUAAGGACGGUGCCAGCCGCCGCGGUAAUACCGGCGCCUCAAGUGGUAGUCGCUUUUAUUGGGCCUAAAACGUCCGUAGCCGGUCUGAUACAUUCGUGGGUAAAUCAACCAGCUUAACUGGUUGAAUUCUGCGAGGACGGUCAGACUUGGGACCGGGAGAGGUGUGGGGUACGCUCAGGGUAGGGGUAAAAUCCUGUCAUCCUGAGCGGACCACCUGUUGCGAAGGCGCCACACUAGAACGGAUCCGACGGUCAGGGACGAAGCCUAGGGGCACGAACCGGAUUAGAUACCCGGGUAGUCCUAGGUGUAAACGCUGUGGACUUGAUGUUGGAGGAGCUCCGAGCUCUUUCAGUGUCGAAGCGAAGGUGAUAAGUCCACUGCCUGGGAAGUACGGUCGCAAGGCUGAAACUUAAAGGAAUUGGCGGGGGAGCACCGCAACCUGAGGAUUGUGCGGUUUAAUUGGAGUCAACGCCGGA